RNAcentral lists this unclassified non-coding RNA (230 nucleotides) under uncultured fungus. Its description in RNAcentral is "sequence contains ITS1, 5.8S rRNA gene". Lineage: Eukaryota; Fungi. The record is from RNAcentral.
UUGAAUACGCUUGGGUGUUGAUGCUGGCCUUCGGGCAUGUGCUCGCAUUCAAACCUAUUUAUCUUCUCUUGUGCACCUUUUGUAGUCUUUGAAGUCAAUCUCCGCUGCAAACGCGGGUUUUGGGGCUUGAGCGCAGGCCCUGGGCUUUAGAGACUAUGUCUUAUAUACCCUAUUGAAGUUACAGAAUGUCAUUUUAAAGGCAGCGCUAGUCGCAGUCAUUAAACCUAAUA